Molecule: ribosomal RNA, 1280 nt
Filed under: Micrococcus sp. Co10b
Lineage: Bacteria; Bacillati; Actinomycetota; Actinomycetes; Micrococcales; Micrococcaceae
Description: bacterial SSU rRNA
Rfam family: Bacterial small subunit ribosomal RNA
Source: RNAcentral
CAAGUCGAACGAUGAAGCCCAGCUUGCUGGGUGGAUUAGUGGCGAACGGGUGAGUAACACGUGAGUAACCUGCCCUUAACUCUGGGAUAAGCCUGGGAAACUGGGUCUAAUACCGGAUAGGAGCGUCCACCGCAUGGUGGGUGUUGGAAAGAUUUAUCGGUUUUGGAUGGACUCGCGGCCUAUCAGCUUGUUGGUGAGGUAAUGGCUCACCAAGGCGACGACGGGUAGCCGGCCUGAGAGGGUGACCGGCCACACUGGGACUGAGACACGGCCCAGACUCCUACGGGAGGCAGCAGUGGGGAAUAUUGCACAAUGGGCGAAAGCCUGAUGCAGCGACGCCGCGUGAGGGAUGACGGCCUUCGGGUUGUAAACCUCUUUCAGUAGGGAAGAAGCGAAAGUGACGGUACCUGCAGAAGAAGCACCGGCUAACUACGUGCCAGCAGCCGCGGUAAUACGUAGGGUGCGAGCGUUAUCCGGAAUUAUUGGGCGUAAAGAGCUCGUAGGCGGUUUGUCGCGUCUGUCGUGAAAGUCCGGGGCUUAACCCCGGAUCUGCGGUGGGUACGGGCAGACUAGAGUGCAGUAGGGGAGACUGGAAUUCCUGGUGUAGCGGUGGAAUGCGCAGAUAUCAGGAGGAACACCGAUGGCGAAGGCAGGUCUCUGGGCUGUAACUGACGCUGAGGAGCGAAAGCAUGGGGAGCGAACAGGAUUAGAUACCCUGGUAGUCCAUGCCGUAAACGUUGGGCACUAGGUGUGGGGACCAUUCCACGGUUUCCGCGCCGCAGCUAACGCAUUAAGUGCCCCGCCUGGGGAGUACGGCCGCAAGGCUAAAACUCAAAGGAAUUGACGGGGGCCCGCACAAGCGGCGGAGCAUGCGGAUUAAUUCGAUGCAACGCGAAGAACCUUACCAAGGCUUGACAUGUUCUCGAUCGCCGUAGAGAUACGGUUUCCCCUUUGGGGCGGGUUCACAGGUGGUGCAUGGUUGUCGUCAGCUCGUGUCGUGAGAUGUUGGGUUAAGUCCCGCAACGAGCGCAACCCUCGUUCCAUGUUGCCAGCACGUCGUGGUGGGGACUCAUGGGAGACUGCCGGGGUCAACUCGGAGGAAGGUGAGGACGACGUCAAAUCAUCAUGCCCCUUAUGUCUUGGGCUUCACGCAUGCUACAAUGGCCGGUACAAUGGGUUGCGAUACUGUGAGGUGGAGCUAAUCCCAAAAAGCCGGUCUCAGUUCGGAUUGGGGUCUGCAACUCGACCCCAUGAAGUCGGAGUCGCUAGUAAUCGCAGAU